RNAcentral lists this ribosomal RNA (483 nucleotides) under Selenomonas sp. canine oral taxon 167. RNAcentral describes it as "bacterial SSU rRNA". It matches the Rfam family "Bacterial small subunit ribosomal RNA", at positions 9 to 469 of the family's 1533-position model. Lineage: Bacteria; Bacillati; Bacillota; Negativicutes; Selenomonadales; Selenomonadaceae. The record is from RNAcentral.
GAGUUUGAUUCUGGCUCAGGACGAACGCUGGCGGCGUGCUUAACACAUGCAAGUCGAACGGGAACCUUUAUUUCGGUAAAGGUGAGAGUGGCAAACGGGUGAGUAACACGUAGGCAACCUGCCGACAGGAUGGGGACAACAUUCCGAAAGGAAUGCUAAUACCGAAUGAAGUCACCGGAGGGCAUCCUCUGGUGAUGAAAGAUGGCCUCUGAACAUGCUAUCACCUGUCGAUGGGCCUGCGUCUGAUUAGCCAGUUGGUGAGGUAACGGCUCACCAAAGCGACGAUCAGUAGCCGGUCUGAGAGGAUGAACGGCCACAUUGGGACUGAGACACGGCCCAGACUCCUACGGGAGGCAGCAGUGGGGAAUCUUCCACAAUGGGCGAAAGCCUGAUGGAGCAACGCCGCGUGAGUGAAGAAGGUCUUCGGAUCGUAAAGCUCUGUUGCACGGGACGAAAACCGGGUUUGAAAACAUUGAACCCGGG